Molecule: ribosomal RNA, 1617 nt
Filed under: uncultured bacterium
Lineage: Bacteria
Description: partial 16S ribosomal RNA
Rfam family: Bacterial small subunit ribosomal RNA
Source: RNAcentral
CAGGACGAACGCUGGCGGCGUGCCUAACACAUGCAAGUCGAGCGAGGUAUUUGCGGCUGAUUCCUUCGGGGAGAAGCUGCAAAUCACCUAGCGGCGGACGGGUGAGUAACGCGUGAGGAACCUACCUCCUACAAAGGGAUAGCCUCGGGAAACUGGGAUUAAUACCUUAUGACACUUAAGAGUCGCAUGACUUUUAAGUUAAAGCGUUUUAGCGGUAGGAGAUGGCCUCGCGUCCCAUUAGCUAGUUGGUGAGGUAACGGCUCACCAAGGCGACGAUGGGUAGCCGGCCUGAGAGGGUGGACGGCCACACUGGAACUGAGACACGGUCCAGACUCCUACGGGAGGCAGCAGUGGGGAAUAUUGCACAAUGGGCGGAAGCCUGAUGCAGCGACGCCGCGUGAGUGACGAAGGCCUUCGGGUCGUAAAACUCUGUCCUAAGGGACGAUAAUGACGGUACCUUAGGAGGAAGCCCCGGCUAACUACGUGCCAGCAGCCGCGGUAAUACGUAGGGGGCGAGCGUUGUCCGGAAUUAUUGGGCGUAAAGGGUGCGUAGGCGGCCUUUUAAGUCAGGUGUGAAAUCCAUGGGCUCAACCUGUGUAAGCACUUGAAACUGGAAGGCUUGAGUUAAGGAGAGGAAAGUGGAAUUCCUAGUGUAGCGGUGAAAUGCGUAGAUAUUAGGAAGAACACCAGUGGCGANNNNGGCUUUCUGGACUGUAACAGACNNNNAGGCACGAAAGCGUGGGUAGCGAACAGNANNNNNUACCCUGGUNNNNNNNNNNNNNNNNNNUGNGNGCNNNNUNUUGGGGUCGAUAGAUCUCGGUGCUGAAGUUAACGCAUUAAGCACUCCACCUGGGGAGUACGAUCGCAAGAUUGAAACUCAAAGGANNUGACGGGGACCCGCACAAGCGGUGGAGCAUGUGGUUUAAUUCGAAGCAACGCGAAGAACCUUNNCAAGGCUUGACAUCCUCUUGGCUAGUUCUUAAUCGAACUAUUCCUUCGGGACAAGAGAGACAGGUGGUGCAUGGUUGUCGUCAGCUCGUGUCGUGAGAUGUUGGGUUAAGUCCCGCAACGAGCGCAACCCCUAUCUUUAGUAACCAGCGAGUAAAGUCGGGGACUCUAGAGAGACUGCCGGGGUUAACCCGGAGGAAGGUGGGGAUGACGUCAAAUCAUCAUGCCCCUUAUGUCUUGGGCUACACACGUGCUACAAUGGCUGCGACAGAGGGAAGCGAAGGGGUGACCUGGAGCGAAACCCAAAAAAGCAGUCCCAGUUCGGAUUGUAGUCUGCAACUCGACUACAUGAAGUCGGAAUCGCUAGUAAUCGCGAAUCAGCAUGUCGCGGUGAAUACGUUCCCGGGUCUUGUACACACCGCCCGUCACACCAUGGGAGUUGGAAGCACCCGAAGCCGGUGACCGAACCUGAGUGUUCAUCAAGCAGAUCAAAUAUAACAAUCUGACAGAUAUUUUUGCAAAUAACUUCGUUAGUGAAGUGCACUCAUACCUUCGAGGUAUUAGCACCCAUCACUGCCUUGUUCUUUACAAAAAUCUCAAGUCAGCUUGUCAUUUAUGAUCUACUUGAUGAGCACUUAGGACGGAGCCGUCGAAGGUGAAGCCAAUGAC